CAAAAUAAUUUAUUACAGCAUUACAUUGUUGAACUUUUUACAGUAAAGUUUUCAUUCAACUAGCGCUCCUAAGCGAAUGACGAAGGAGAUCUGUCUUCAUGACGUCUUGGUAAAACUUCUCUUUGUAAAUUUUGCAUAGGACCAUCUUAAAUAUUUACAUUAUUCAAAAAAAGUUGAAAACAAACUGGUUCCAUUGUGGGGUUUUUUUUUUAAACAAAGGUGUUUUUUUUUAUACAAGCCACAGUGAAUUUUCUUUUUACAUUUUCAGGAAUAGUUAUUUAUGUCCUGAAAGGGGGAAGCAGGGGAACAUUUAAAACUGAAUCAAAAUGUUGAUAUGUUAUACGUGAAGUGCAGGUAUGUCAACUUAUAAAAAUUAAACAGGGGAAGAAAGGAUGAAAUGCAAUGUAUAAUUAAACGAAGUUGUGCUUUAAAGAAAAAAUAACCUUAUUUAACGUUAACAACUUCACAGCAUGUGAUAGAACAUUAUUUUUUUCCCCGACUAUUGGUUUUCUGAUUCAUUUCUCGAACAUUUUAAUGUAGCUCACCAUUAUUAUCAUUAUUAUUAUGAUGACCACAUUCUCCAUUAAUUUCCUCCCUUCUGUUUUGGAAGGGAAAUGUUUUUAAAAUUCCUAAGCAAUAAAAAAGGUAACUUAAUCGUCAUAAUGGCAACUUAAUGGUAUUAAGGGUUUAAUGGAUCAUUGAAAAGAAUCAUUACGAACCAAAAUAAUUUACAAGUUUUAAAAAACGACAUUCUCCACUUUAUAAAUCCGAACGCGUCUUUCCGAUGAAUCAGAAUUUCCAUACAAUACUAGGAAACUGACAAAACUAGCCCGGUACCCAUCAGGAGCCAUGCUUUGAAAGAAAUGGAAAAUAAUAUGUGUAGUUCAGGGUUGUAAUGACGGAGUCCUUGGUGCUCUCUGAGCUUGAUGGUUUUCUUGCAGACGUUUCAUGACCCAACUAGGUAAUGUCAUCAGUGCCAGAAGGGAGCGGGGUUUUUGCCCUGUGUUUGUGACCUAGUUGGGCAAUGAAACAAUCCAUCUCAGGGAGCACCAAGGACCCCCAUGGAAACA
This is a non-coding RNA of Pseudonaja textilis, 1070 nucleotides long. NCBI's taxonomy places the organism in Eukaryota, Metazoa, Chordata, Lepidosauria, Squamata, Elapidae. The record is from RefSeq and is a predicted model, not a curated record.